Molecule: ribosomal RNA, 429 nt
Filed under: Chloroflexota bacterium
Lineage: Bacteria; Bacillati; Chloroflexota
Description: Chloroflexi bacterium partial 16S ribosomal RNA
Rfam family: Bacterial small subunit ribosomal RNA
Source: RNAcentral
UGGGGAAUAUUGCACAAUGGGCGCAAGCCUGAUGCAGCCAUGCCGCGUGUGUGAAGAUGGCCUUCGGGUUGUAAAGCACUUUCAGCGGGGAGGAAGGCGAUAAGGUUAAUAACCUUGACGAUUGACGUUACCCGCAGAAGAAGCACCGGCUAACUCCGUGCCAGCAGCCGCGGUAAUACGGAGGGUGCAAGCGUUAAUCGGAAUUACUGGGCGUAAAGCGCACGCAGGCGGUCUGUCAAGUCGGAUGUGAAAUCCCCGGGCUCAACCUGGGAACUGCAUUCGAAACUGGCAGGCUAGAGUCUUGUAGAGGGGGGUAGAAUUCCAGGUGUAGCGGUGAAAUGCGUAGAGAUCUGGAGGAAUACCGGUGGCGAAGGCGGCCCCCUGGACAAAGACUGACGCUCAGGUGCGAAAGCGUGGGGAGCAAACAGG